GUAAGCCCCAAACACCUCAGCAGCUGUAUUCUGGCAGCAGAGACGCGGCUGUCUAUUCCCAGAUGUGUGCCAUUCGAUCGCUAAAAAGGAGAGAAAGAAAGAGAAGCAAUAUAGGGGGAGGAGCAAACUGCGGGGGUUAGAGAGAAGAAAGGGGAUACAAGCAAGAGAGGUGGAAGAGUGUGUAAUACUGGAUGAACUGUUGGGCAUUUGGAAGCUCUGUGACCUUUCAGAAACUUCACCAAAAUUCUCAUCUUCAGAGAUACGCAAUAUACUGACUUCCUUUUGCAAGACAUCUGUGAAGGUCAAGACACUCUCCAAGCACUCCUUUCCUGCCUGCUGUCCCCAGCCUAACACUACGCAUGAGGAAAUAACCAGCAGCUAUCAAAGAUUGGCCUCGGCACAUCCUCCUACACCACCAGGACUGCUGGGAGGUGGUGAACUGCAUUUUCUUCUUUUUCUGUGGCUUCUGAGUGCAGAUCUCCAUUUGUGUAGAGCCAAUGAAUGGACUCAGUCAUGAGCCAGCUACUGAACUGUCUUAGUCUCCCCCACUGUGGCUGAAAACAGACUGACAUGAGGAAAUGGAUGGGAACUAGAGUAAGCGCGUCUCCCCACUUCCUGAACAGGUGGGUCUUCUCUUCCCUCAGAGGAAAAGCCACGUGCCUGCAGAGGGAGGUACAUGUGUGUACUCCAUCCCAUCCCCUCAUGCCUCCUCCACCACACUGCUUCUGCAAUUGUCCCCUCUCUCUCGCAACGUUUUCCCAUCCAGUGGAUCAUUUUCAUCGUCUCUGAAAAUAGCUCUCAUCUUAAUCAAACGCUUGACCCCAAUACUCCUACAACCAAUUUUCUUGGCUUCUUUUAAAACAAAACCUAUUUUUAAAAAUUGCCUUGUAAUUCCAU
This 897-nucleotide long non-coding RNA is filed under the name Cercocebus atys (sooty mangabey). RNAcentral describes it as "lncRNA (ENSCATG00000045845.1)". Lineage: Eukaryota; Metazoa; Chordata; Mammalia; Primates; Cercopithecidae. The record is from RNAcentral.